GACGAACGCUGGCGGCGUGCUUAACACAUGCAAGUCGAACGGAAAGGCCCUGCUUUUGUGGGGUGCUCGAGUGGCGAACGGGUGCGUAACACGUGAGUAACCUGCCCUUGUCUUUGGGAUAACUUCAGGAAACUGGGGCUAAUACCGGAUAGGAGCUCCUGCUGCAUGGUGGGGGUUGGAAAGUUUCGGCGGUUGGGGAUGGACUCGCGGCUUAUCAGCUUGUUGGUGGGGUAGUGGCUUACCAAGGCUUUGACGGGUAGCCGGCCUGAGAGGGUGACCGGCCACAUUGGGACUGAGAUACGGCCCAGACUCCUACGGGAGGCAGCAGUGGGGAAUAUUGCACAAUGGGCGGAAGCCUGAUGCAGCAACGCCGCGUGCGGGAUGACGGCCUUCGGGUUGUAAACCGCCUUCGCCUGUGACGAAGCGUGAGUGACGGUAAUGGGUAAAGAAGCACCGGCUAACUACGUG
RNAcentral lists this ribosomal RNA (468 nucleotides) under uncultured bacterium. RNAcentral describes it as "partial 16S ribosomal RNA". It matches the Rfam family "Bacterial small subunit ribosomal RNA", at positions 28 to 507 of the family's 1533-position model. The record is from RNAcentral.